AUAUUAUGCAGAACACUAAUGU
Molecule: microRNA, 22 nt
Filed under: Bombyx mori (domestic silkworm)
Lineage: Eukaryota; Metazoa; Arthropoda; Insecta; Lepidoptera; Bombycidae
Description: bmo-miR-2771-3p
Source: miRBase by way of RNAcentral